AGGACGAACGCUGGCGGCGUGCUUAACACAUGCAAGUCGAACGGAGAAUUUACUCGGUAGAAUUCUUAGCGGCGAACGGGUGAGUAACGCGUAGACAACCUGCCUCUUAGAUGGGGACAACAUCGCGAAAGCGGUGCUAAUACCGAAUGAAGUGGAGCUUCCGCAUGGAAGCAUCACCAAAGGUGGCCUCUAUUUAUAAGCUACCACUGAGAGAUGGGUCUGCGUCUGAUUAGCUAGUUGGCGGGGUAAUGGCCCACCAAGGCGACGAUCAGUAGCCGGUCUGAGAGGAUGAACGGCCACAUUGGGACUGAGACACGGCCCAAACUCCUACGGGAGGCAGCAGUGGGGAAUCUUCCGCAAUGGACGAAAGUCUGACGGAGCAACGCCGCGUGAAGUGAAGAAGGUUUUCGGAUCGUAAAGCUCUGUUGUUUGAGACGAAUGUGCAGACUUUGAAUAAGGGUUUGUAAUGACGGUAUUAAACGAGAAAGCCACGGCUAACUACGUGCCAGCCGCGGC
RNAcentral lists this ribosomal RNA (516 nucleotides) under uncultured bacterium. RNAcentral's name for it is "bacterial SSU rRNA". It matches the Rfam family "Bacterial small subunit ribosomal RNA", at positions 26 to 518 of the family's 1533-position model. The record is from RNAcentral.